Molecule: long non-coding RNA, 712 nt
Filed under: Equus caballus (horse)
Lineage: Eukaryota; Metazoa; Chordata; Mammalia; Perissodactyla; Equidae
Description: lncRNA (ENSECAG00000051884.1)
Source: RNAcentral
GGAUGGGAGGCCAAGGAGGAAGAGAGAGGUAGACUGUUUUCCAAAAAUAUAUAGACAUUUCUGCCUCAUGACUCUUAGAUGCAGAGUUUAGCUAAAAGCUAUCUCUAGCUUUGUACGGCUGGUCCCCAGCAUGAGAUAGUGGGGUGAUUGUUCUCCCCAGAUAAUCUGUAGCCAUAAAAUAACCGGCCUUAGAAUUGUGUCCAUUCCUGUGCUGCUCAAAGUGAAGUCCAAGGGCUGGCAGCCUGAGCAGCAACUGGGAGCUGGUAGGAAGCGCAGAAUCCCAGCCCCGCUGAGAAGAAUCGACACUUCAACAGGAUUCCCAGGCUCGUCUCCCGUGUGAUCUUCCCACUCUCUCAUCAAGAGGUGGAGUCUAACUUGUGUCCUUUGAUUCUGGAUUAGUCCUGAGCUAACUACUGCCAGUCCUCUUUUUUGCUGAAGAAGCCUGGCCCUGAGCUAACAUCGUGCCCAUCUUCCUUUACUUUACAUGUGGGACGCCUACCACAGCAUGGAGUGCCAAGCGGUGCCAUGUCCACCACACCCGGGAUCCGAACCAGCGAACCCCGGGCUGCCGAGAAGCGGAAUGUGCGAACUUUGCUGCGCCACCUGGCCGGCCCCUCACUUCUCAUCUCUCUUGAACCCUUUUGCUCUACCAAAAUCAUUUUUUGUCACUCUAAAAUAUUUUGCUUGAAGUCAUAUAUUGUUGUGUUUUCUG